CCUACUACAUGGAUAACUGUGGUAAUUCUAGAGCUAAUACAUGCUAAAAAUCCCGACUUCGGAAGGGAUGUAUUUAUUAGAUUAAAAACCAAUGCCCUUCGGGGCUCUCUGGUGAUUCAUAAUAACUGCUCGAAUCGCAUGGCCUUGCGCCGGCGAUGGCUCAUUCAAAUUUCUGCCCUAUCAACUUUCGACGGCUGGGUCUUGGCCAGCCAUGGUGACAACGGGUAACGGAGGGUUAGGGCUCGACCCCGGAGAAGGAGCCUGAGAGACGGCUACUACAUCCAAGGAAGGCAGCAGGCGCGCAAAUUACCCAAUCCCAAUUCGGGGAGGUAGUGACAAUAAAUACUGAUACAGGGCUCUUUUGGGUCUUGUAAUCGGAAUGAGAACAAUUUAAAUCCCUUAACGAGGAACAAUUGGAGGGCAAGUCUGGUGCCAGCAGCCGCGGUAAUUCCAGCUCCAAUAGCGUAUAUUAAAGUUGUUGCAGUUAAAAAGCUCGUAGUUGAACCUUGGGCCUGGCUGGCCGGUCCGCCUCACCGCGUGCACUGGUCCGGCCGGGCCUUUCCCUCUGGGGAGCCGCAUGCCCUUCACUGGGCGUGUCGGGGAACCAGGACUUUUACUGUGAAAAAAUUAGAGUGUUCAAAGCAGGCCUAUGCUCGAAUACAUUAGCAUGGAAUAAUAGAAUAGGACGUGUGGUUCUAUUUUGUUGGUUUCUAGGACCGCCGUAAUGAUUAAUAGGGACAGUCGGGGGCGUCAGUAUUCAAUUGUCAGAGGUGAAAUUCUUGGAUUUAUUGAAGACUAACUGCUGCGAAAGCGUUCGCCAAGGAUGUUUUCAUUAAUCAGGAACGAAAGUUAGGGGAUCGAAGACGAUCAGAUACCGUCGUAGUCUUAACCAUAAACUAUGCCGACUCGGG
RNAcentral lists this ribosomal RNA (911 nucleotides) under Pleurostoma richardsiae. RNAcentral describes it as "SSU rRNA". It matches the Rfam family "Eukaryotic small subunit ribosomal RNA", at positions 131 to 1051 of the family's 1831-position model. The record is from RNAcentral. Lineage: Eukaryota; Fungi; Ascomycota; Sordariomycetes; Calosphaeriales; Pleurostomataceae.